Caenorhabditis elegans is the source of this 122-nucleotide non-coding RNA. The record is from Ensembl. NCBI's taxonomy places the organism in Eukaryota, Metazoa, Nematoda, Chromadorea, Rhabditida, Rhabditidae.
GAACGAUAUAAUCAUCUUCAUCAGGAAGGCCCUCGGUCUUUAUUAUUAUUAUUAUUGUAACGGAGGGGAGACAAAUCUAUUGGCCGGCGGCACCUUUCAAAAGAAGUGUGCACCGGGGUGCC